AUUCAUAUUAAAUUGAUCGUUAGAAAAGGCUCCAAUGCUAAAGAUCCAGAAGAUCUAAAUCUAGUUAUCCAGUGAUCAUCUUUGUAGAGUAAUCAAUGAGGUUCACAACCAAUUAAUGAUUCUUCUUUGUGAGAUCUGUCAACCUCUUUCUUUUUUGUUUUGGUUUCUUACAGGUGUCGCUACCUGCUUCACGUCCCAAACUAAUACAGAUUCGCACAGGCGCG
RNAcentral lists this unclassified non-coding RNA (224 nucleotides) under Hevea brasiliensis (rubber tree). The record is from RNAcentral. Lineage: Eukaryota; Viridiplantae; Streptophyta; Magnoliopsida; Malpighiales; Euphorbiaceae.